AGUGAACGCUGGCGGUAGGCCUAACACAUGCAAGUCGAACGGCAGCACAGUAAGAGCUUGCUCUUACGGGUGGCGAGUGGCGGACGGGUGAGGAAUACAUCGGAAUCUACUUUUUCGUGGGGGAUAACGUAGGGAAACUUACGCCAAUACCGCAUACGACCUACGGGUGAAAGCAGGGGAUCUUCGGACCUUGCGCGAUUGAAUGAGCCGAUGUCGGAUUAGCUAGUUGGCGGGGUAAAGGCCCACCAAGGCGACGAUCCGUAGCUGGUCUGAGAGGAUGAUCCGCCACACUGGAACUGAGACACGGUCCAGACUCCUACGGGAGGCAGCAGUGGGGAAUAUUGGACAAUGGGCGCAAGCCUGAUCCAGCCAUACCGCGUGGGUGAAGAAGGCCUUCGGGUUGUAAAGCCCUUUUGUUGGGAAAGAAAAGCAGCAGGUUAAUACCCCGCUGUUCUGACGGUACCCAAAGAAUAAGCACCGGCUAACUUCGUG
This 492-nucleotide ribosomal RNA is filed under the name uncultured bacterium. Its description in RNAcentral is "partial 16S ribosomal RNA". It matches the Rfam family "Bacterial small subunit ribosomal RNA", at positions 29 to 507 of the family's 1533-position model. The record is from RNAcentral.